Molecule: ribosomal RNA, 253 nt
Filed under: uncultured bacterium
Lineage: Bacteria
Description: partial 16S ribosomal RNA
Rfam family: Bacterial small subunit ribosomal RNA
Source: RNAcentral
UACGUAGGUGGCAAGCGUUGUCCGGAUUUACUGGGCGUAAAGAGCGCGCAGGCGGUCGUCCAAGUCGAGUGUGAAAGCCCCCGGCUCAACUGGGGAGGGUCAUUCGAUACUGAUCGACUCGAAGGCAGGAGAGGGUAGUGGAAUUCCCGGUGUAGUGGUGAAAUGCGUAGAUAUCGGGAGGAACACCAGUGGCGAAGGCGACUACCUGGCCUGUUCUUGACGCUGAGGCGCGAAAGCUAGGGGAGCAAACGGG